Molecule: ribosomal RNA, 274 nt
Filed under: uncultured bacterium
Lineage: Bacteria
Description: partial 16S ribosomal RNA
Source: RNAcentral
CUGCUGCCUCCCGUAGGAGUCUGGUCCGUGUCUCAGUACCAGUGUGGGGGACCUUCCUCUCAGAACCCCUACGCAUCGUCGCCUUGGUGGGCCGUUACCCCGCCAACUAGCUAAUGCGCCGCAUGCCCAUCCUCCGCCGGAAUCGCUUCCUUUUAACACCCGUGGGAUGCCCCACUGGUGUACCACGCGGUAUUAGUCCGGAUUUCUCCGGGUUAUCCCCCUGCGGAGGGCAGGUUGCAUACGUGUUACUCACCCGUGCGCCGGUCGCCGGCAG